UACGUAGGGGGCAAGCGUUGGUCCGGAUUUAUUGGGCGUAAAGAGCGUGUAGGCGGCCAGGUAGGUCUGCUGUGAAAACUCGAGGCUUAACCUCGAGAUGUCGGCGGAAACCAUCUGGCUAGAGUCCGGAAGAGGAGAGUGGAAUUCCUGGUGUAGCGGUGAAAUGCGCAGAUAUCAGGAAGAACACCCGUGGCGAAGGCGGCUCUCUGGGACGGUACUGACGCUGAGGCAUGAAAGCGUGGGGAGCAAACAGG
Molecule: ribosomal RNA, 254 nt
Filed under: uncultured bacterium
Lineage: Bacteria
Description: partial 16S ribosomal RNA
Rfam family: Bacterial small subunit ribosomal RNA
Source: RNAcentral